CCAAAUUAUUGGGAUAAUUUUUUGUUUAAAAUUAUUUAAUUAAUUUAGUAAUUUACUGAUUGAGAUUAACAUGGUUUCUACAACAUUAAUCUUCUUUGUUAAACACCAUUGUAGUGUUUGAAAUUUCACCUCAUCCAUCUUUAUUGAAUUAUGAUCUUCAACUUGUGUUUACUAAUUUUACUGUUUAUUUGCUACUUGGGAUAAUUGCCUGUUAACUGAUUGUUCAAUAAGUGUGGAUAAUAAUUAACCAUUUUUGCAAUCAUUUUUGACUUCAUUAACCUUCAAAUUAUCAACAUUUUGUGUUAACUACAAGUAAUUUUCCGACCUUCAACUGUCUGUUUUUAUGUUAGUAUGGAUGUAGAGUUAUUGUUAUUUUUUUAGAUUUUUAUCAACACGUAAUUUACCCUUUACUUUGUAUAUGUUCAAACUAGUCACAUUAAUCUGGUUGAUACAAAAAAAGAUUUGACUGUUUUUUUGUUCAAUGAUUACAAAAGUCAUUUAACCAGAGUGACUAUGUGUUAAAUCACGUUUACUUUGCUUGUUUCACCUCAUUCUCGUGUUACUUUUUCAACGAUAGUUUGACUAAAUUUGCUUUAUUUACCGGUUACACUUUGCUUCAAAAUUGGAUUAGAGUUAACUUUUUUUUUGGACUUUAAUGUGAAACAAAACAGGCAAAAUUGAAGUCACUUUAAUCACUUAUGUUUGUGAUUUGCACAAGCGUCAUUAUAAACGUUGAUCAACCUUUACACACUGAUUAGUAAUACCCUCAUCUGUUUAUGGAAGAACCUAUAACCCUGGAGUUUAUGAUUGGAUGAGAGAUUUUCAUGUUUUCAGUCGAUCAUUUUCCUAAUGGCAGCCUAAUCACAUGGAUUCCAAGCUAUUACAGAUGAUACAAUGAAUAACUGGAUUCUGGAAAAGAUAAAGUCUCGAUAAAACUAUAUGAAUAGUGUUCAUGCAUUUCCUAAGGAAAGUGACCAAGACCUUUGGACAGAGAGAAUCAGGUUUCCAAUUUCAAAGCAAAGGAAGUUUUAAAAUGGACAAAUAUUUUGGGUUAAUUUCAAGUUCGAGGUUGAUGAAUAUCCAAACAAAUUAAUAGCCCGGCUAAUUACUAGGAAGAUAUUGAAUGGCUCGAGGUCGAGCAACCACCAGCUUAGAUUGAUGUUCAAAUUCAGAGUUUCCUUCACGCGCUAUGGGCUGUUACCUCCAGAACUCGAUGUCAAUAAUUAUUUUCAAGAAAACCUUCAAUUUUUAUAAUAGUCAAUGGAGUUUCAUUCAAUUUUCCGCCAAUGUAAUCUAAUGAUAUUUAAGAGCAAUUCUGUCCUUUUCAGCUUA
Non-coding RNA from Tetranychus urticae (two-spotted spider mite), 1332 nucleotides. The record is from RefSeq and is a predicted model, not a curated record. NCBI's taxonomy places the organism in Eukaryota, Metazoa, Arthropoda, Arachnida, Trombidiformes, Tetranychidae.